RNAcentral lists this ribosomal RNA (481 nucleotides) under uncultured bacterium. RNAcentral describes it as "partial 16S ribosomal RNA". It matches the Rfam family "Bacterial small subunit ribosomal RNA", at positions 28 to 507 of the family's 1533-position model. The record is from RNAcentral.
GACGAACGCUGGCGGCGUGCUAAACACAUGCAAGUCGAACGGGAUCCGGGCUUUCGGGUUUGGUGAGAGUGGCGAACGGGUGAGUAACACGUGAGUAACCUGCCCCCUUCUUUGGGAUAACGUCGGGAAAUCGGCGCUAAUACUGGAUAUUCUUGCUGCAUCGCAUGGUGUGGUUUGGAAAGGGUUUCUGGUGGGGGAUGGGCUCGCGGCCUAUCAGCUUGUUGGUGGGGUGAUGGCCUACCAAGGCUUUGACGGGUAGCCGGCCUGAGAGGGUGUCCGGCCACACUGGGACUGAGACACGGCCCAGACUCCUACGGGAGGCAGCAGUGGGGAAUAUUACACAAUGGGCGCAAGCCUGAUGCAGCGACGCCGCGUGAGGGAUGACGGCCUUCGGGUUGUAAACCUCUUUCAGUAUGGAACAAGGAUCCUUCUUUUGGGGGGUUUGAGGGUACGUGCAGAAGAAGCGCCGGCUAACUACGUG